CGCCCCGGUCGCCAAGGGGAUUAGCGUACAGAUAACGUACAGAGCGAUGGCGGCGACCACUGUGAACAUCGAUCAAAGCGCACUGCGCGGCAGCGGCCUUCUAAGCCGCCGGUUGCGCGUUCGAGUCGCGCCGGGCGCA
RNAcentral lists this transfer RNA (139 nucleotides) under Deltaproteobacteria bacterium. RNAcentral describes it as "tRNA-Arg". The stretch from base 78 to 139 matches the Rfam family "tRNA". Lineage: Bacteria; Pseudomonadati; Myxococcota; Myxococcia. The record is from RNAcentral. RNAcentral also lists the same sequence under 1 other name.